RNAcentral lists this ribosomal RNA (490 nucleotides) under uncultured bacterium. RNAcentral's name for it is "partial 16S ribosomal RNA". It matches the Rfam family "Bacterial small subunit ribosomal RNA", at positions 30 to 507 of the family's 1533-position model. The record is from RNAcentral.
AUUGAACGCUGGCGGCAUGCCUAACACAUGCAAGUCGAACGGUAACAGGAAGCACCUUCCUGCUUCGCUUUCGCGGCGCGGACGUGAGAGUCAUGUCGAUGACGCUGCUUGAUGGAGGGGGAUACCUACUGGAAACGGUACCUAAUCCCGCAUAAUGUCUCAAGACCAUAGAGGGAGACCUUCGGGCCUCUUUCCAGCGGAUGUUCCCAGAUGGCAUUAGCUAGUUGGUGGGGUAACGGCUCACCAAGGCGACGAUCCGUAGCUGGUCUGAGAGGGUGACCAGCCACACUGGAACUGAGACACGGUCCAGACUCCUACGGGAGGCAGCAGUAGGGAAUAUUGCGCAAUGGGCGCAAGCCUGACGGAGCAACGCCGCGUGUGUGAAGAAGGUCUUCGGAUUGUAAAACACUGUCAGCGGGGAAGAAGAGAGUAGUGUUAAAACCUGCGCGCCUUGACGUUACCUGAAGAGGAAGCCACGGCUAACUACGUG